RNAcentral lists this ribosomal RNA (459 nucleotides) under uncultured bacterium. RNAcentral's name for it is "partial 16S ribosomal RNA". It matches the Rfam family "Bacterial small subunit ribosomal RNA", at positions 338 to 795 of the family's 1533-position model. The record is from RNAcentral.
CCUACGGGAGGCAGCAGUGAGGAAUAUUGGUCAAUGGCCGAGAGGCUGAACCAGCCAAGUCGCGUGAGGGAAGACGGCCCUACGGGUUGUAAACCUCUUUUGUCGGGGAGCAAAGCGAGCCACGUGUGGUUCAUUGAGAGUACCCGAAGAAAAAGCAUCGGCUAACUCCGUGCCAGCAGCCGCGGUAAUACGGAGGAUGCGAGCGUUAUCCGGAUUUAUUGGGUUUAAAGGGUGCGCAGGCGGAGGUGCAAGUCAGCGGUAAAAUUGGGGGGCUCAACCCCGUACUGCCGUUGAAACUGGAUGUCUUGAGUGCAGGAGAGGUAGGCGGAAUGCGUGGUGUAGCGGUGAAAUGCAUAGAUAUCACGAAGAACUCCGAUUGCGAAGGCAGCAUACCGGAGCGCCACUGACGUUCAUGCACGAAAGUGUGGGUAUCGAACAGGAUUAGAUACCCGAGUAGUC